RNAcentral lists this long non-coding RNA (1137 nucleotides) under Oreochromis niloticus (Nile tilapia). Its description in RNAcentral is "lncRNA (ENSONIG00000036271.1)". Lineage: Eukaryota; Metazoa; Chordata; Actinopteri; Cichliformes; Cichlidae. The record is from RNAcentral.
AUGUUUAUUUCAAGCAGGAGCGUUUGCCCUUUGCAUUCAGUUUUGUCCUUAGCCCGUGUAUAUCUCAGAGAUGCAAACAGCCUUGAUAAAACUGCAUUUGAUGCCCUGAGAAGGAGAGCAGAUCUGUCAUUGGGAUAUCCAAAAGGAACACAAGACUGGGACUUUGAGCAAAACAAAAGGCUUCUUCAGAAUGGCAGCACCAGAAACCCAUCUUGUAAGUGGGGAAAAAAUGGUAACAAGCUUUUUUCCAAGGACUAUAAAAUGAUGUAUAUUUAACUCAUGUGUAUUUAUUCUUUAUUUCAUCUUUGUUUGUUAAUAUACCCACCAGUACUCAAAAGAAGAACGGCAGCCUUGUGGAGAUGUUAAAUAAAGCGAAUGCUCAGAAACAGCAGUCUCUCCCAUCCUUCUCUCCGACAUGAUCGGAAUGUAGAACGACUGCACAGAUAUACGAGAUUGGAUCAAUCAUCUCAUAUUGAUGCUGCUCUAUAUGUUGGAGCCUUCUUCUUUUUUAAUGACUCAAGGUCUUCCUCUUUCCAGUUCCCAGGGAAACCAGGCAAUCAUAGACAAAGACCAGGAGAAAGAGACUUAAUUACUGUGAGUCAGUAUUAGGUGGCACCUCUGAGUUAAUACGCGCACAAACAACAAAAUGCCUUUUGAAAGCUAUACACUGAAGUACAUCCAAGUCCAAAUCCAAACCCUUUCAGGUAUAAAUACCCACCUACAGACACUUUGUUAAGCAGCGUGCAUCCAAUUCAGUCACACAAGCGCACACACAGUGGGGUGGUUUUGGCAGCGUCAGGUUUUGAGACCGCCGUGCCCGUUCUAUCAUUCAUUCCCUCAGAAGUGUUUUUCAUCCUCUUUUACCCCUGUGGAAAAACAGAAUUCAUGACCUGCCACCUUUUUUUGCUGACUGCACAGGCCAUCCGCUGCCUCGGUAAACGAUUUUCCCGGCUUUUUUCAGCCGCCUCACAAAACACUUGAUGACACAAGUGGCAUGAAAAGUAUGCAAUUCAAUUUGUCAGUGGUUAUUACUUCGCAGCGUGGACAGUUACAGUUAUGUGUUGAUUACAGGCAGAUUUUUUUUCCCCCCCCUGUCGAGCUGACUGUCACUUCUGGCAGUUGGGAAAAGCAAAAGUG